Chelonus insularis is the source of this 1751-nucleotide long non-coding RNA. RefSeq lists it as uncharacterized. NCBI's taxonomy places the organism in Eukaryota, Metazoa, Arthropoda, Insecta, Hymenoptera, Braconidae. The transcript is spliced from 3 exons. The record is from RefSeq and is a predicted model, not a curated record.
ACUAAUCAUAUUAAUUCAAAGUUAGUUUGGAGUUGGAAUACUUUUUUGAAAUGUCUCAGUUUUCUUUUAGUCAAUUACUAAUAAAAUUAUUUAUGUCAAUGAAGACAAAUGUAAAAAUGGACAGUAAUUAUCAACAUAAACUAGGAUGAAUUAAAAUUUUUUUUUACCAAUUACUAAAUAAUUACAAGGACUUUUGUUCCAACAAUAUUACCAAGCAAUCGUCUACUUCAUAAUAUGUACAACUGAAUAAACUCCAUUAUCAUAUCUCCAAAACAUCAUCUGGUGUUAUACUACAGACAUAAAAUAAUCUUUUCUAGAAAUAUCAAGAAGAAUUAUUUGUACUCAGCUAUGCAUAAGAAAAAAAUGCGGAGGCACAAGCAAUCAAGUGGGGGGAUGUAGUAUGUAUGUUGAUUCUUAGCGUGUCUCGGAAUAAACACGUGACGAUACGAGCAUAUUAACGGCAUAGCAGAGCUGUUUGCAUCACCAGCUUCGACGUGGUACGAAGAGUAUGAGGUGUCUUUCUAUUUUAGAUUAUUUGAUUUUGUCUUGAGUUAAAAAGGAAACUUAAUAGAUGAUGUUACUAUACUUAAUUCCAUGAGCUAAUUAAAUUAUCUGUUCAGAUAACUCCAUGUCGAAGAAUGUGAAAAAUGAAAUAUAAUUUAUGUUUAAUUAAAUAUUGAAAAAUAAUGAUAUUAUAGCGGCUUUUUAACGUGGAAAAGUAUUUAUCUCAAGCAUUAAUUAUGUCUAAUUAUUCCAUAGAAUCGAUUAAAUCAAUUUACAUACUUUCAACUAGCGUAUCCGUUCUAUCUAAUGUAUAUUCGAUCAAUACUUGAUAACUUUUUAUACAAUAUAGAACUACCCUACCUAAGGAUCUUUUGACUUUAUAAGUAAAAAAUAUGUAUCAACAUUUAUGUAUAAGUAUGUCAAUGUCAUGCUAUCCAGACUAAAUGUGAAUGAUCAAAUUUUCUCCAGUUGCAUGUUGAUACAAAUGAUAUCAUCAUUUGGACUAUGUAUUGCACUUAUGAAAUAAAUGAAUGUAACCCGUUUGCCAACGUAAUUUAAAAGCACAUCGACAAUGAUUCAAAUUAGUUAAUUGAUGCAUAAAUCUUUCCAUAUAUAGACAAAGUAUUUGUUGUAAAUAUGAAUACAUAUUGACUAUAUUAUUAUAAACUUAUAAAUAAUUUAUUUAAGUAUAUUUAUGGUAUUCUCACGAACAUUAAAGUGAAAAGCGAUAAAGGGCGAUAAGUUUUGAGGUAUAAAUGACGUCAUUCUUCGUUGAACAAGACAUGGAGACGCAUUUGCUUCACUCCAUGUCAUGAAUGUAUCUCGUCAUGUCCUUGAUAUUUCCAUGGUCAUUUUGCACCGUGACUCUGUAUAGCAAUCGAGUAGAUACAAUUAAAUAUAACUAGCACGUCAUCAAUGUUGUAGGCGGAAUCUUUGAAAGAUUCAUGAAAAUAUUUUUUCUCAUAUCAGUUUAAAUAUUGAGAAAAAAGUAACAUAAACAAACGUCUCAAUGUUAUAUUAUUUUUUUUCAAACCGAAAACGUUAUAAAAAUUUUUUGUGUACCAGAAUUUUCUUUGAGGAAUACCAUGAAUAAUAUAACAUCUAAAAGUGAUCACAGCAUGCCAUGACUAAUAAUAGUUUUCAGAUUGGAUUCUAAUGCUUUUCCUUUUUUACUGCAUUCCAUUCAUAUUUUUCUUCUUUCCUUUUUAAGCGAUCCAAUUUUUUUUUCUUAUUACUGUGUAAUUAUA